UGUGAUAACUUCAGGAAACUGGGGCUAAUACCGGAUAGGAGCUCCUGCUGCAUGGUGGGGGUUGGAAAGUUUCGGCGGUUGGGGAUGGACUCGCGGCUUAUCAGCUUGUUGGUGGGGUAGUGGCUUACCAAGGCUUUGACGGGUAGCCGGCCUGAGAGGGUGACCGGCCACAUUGGGACUGAGAUACGGCCCAG
Molecule: ribosomal RNA, 194 nt
Filed under: uncultured Actinomycetales bacterium
Lineage: Bacteria; Bacillati; Actinomycetota; Actinomycetes; Actinomycetales
Description: partial 16S ribosomal RNA
Rfam family: Bacterial small subunit ribosomal RNA
Source: RNAcentral